Molecule: long non-coding RNA, 254 nt
Filed under: Elaeis guineensis (African oil palm)
Lineage: Eukaryota; Viridiplantae; Streptophyta; Magnoliopsida; Arecales; Arecaceae
Description: long non-coding RNA (EGUI_LNC043258)
Source: RNAcentral
ACCCUAAGGUAAGUGAGUAUCGGCUUACGCCAAGUCCAUAUCUCAUAUGGUGUCUUUGCAACUGAUUAGUUCGGAAUCCAGUUGAGAAUAUGACAAGUAGUCUUAAGAGCAUAACCCUAAAGAGAACUAACAGACUUAUAAACCCCAUCAUGAAUUGAACUAUGUCUAACAAAGUCAAUUUCAAUAAGAUAGAAUCCUUAUUCUCUUCUAGAUAUGUCAAAAAUCUCACCGAAAAGGUAUUCUUCUCCUUGGUC